Molecule: non-coding RNA, 71 nt
Organism: Megalops atlanticus (tarpon)
Lineage: Eukaryota; Metazoa; Chordata; Actinopteri; Elopiformes; Megalopidae
Source: the annotation of a GenBank genome assembly
GGCAGUGUAGCAUAGUGGUUAUGGAGUAGGACUCGUGACCAAAAAGUUGCCGGUUCGAUUCCCCGCUGGUG